RNAcentral lists this ribosomal RNA (253 nucleotides) under uncultured bacterium. RNAcentral describes it as "partial 16S ribosomal RNA". It matches the Rfam family "Bacterial small subunit ribosomal RNA", at positions 524 to 776 of the family's 1533-position model. The record is from RNAcentral.
UACGAAGGGUGCAAGCGUUACUCGGAAUUACUGGGCGUAAAGCGUGCGUAGGUGGUGAGUUAAGUCUGUCGUGAAAGCCCCGGGCUCAACCUGGGAAUGGCGAUGGAUACUGGCUCGCUAGAGUGCGGUAGAGGAGAGUGGAAUUCCUGGUGUAGCGGUGAAAUGCGCAGAUAUCAGGAGGAACACCGGUGGCGAAGGCGGGACUCUGGGCCGAUACUGACGCUGAGGAGCGAAAGCGUGGGGAGCAAACAGG